GGAAGGAUCAUUAACACGUAUCCACGUAUCCACCCAUUGUGAAUGAAUGUUUUCAUUACCUCCCUCUUUUCUAACAUGAGUUGGCCCAGGGUAAUAUGAGAGAAUUGAAUGGUGGUGCUUUUUGGCAUCAGUCUCGUAUUAUUUGACUCAAGCCCUUGUAGGCUUCAACAACUGUAGUUGGAAGAGAGGCUAUCUUACCUUUUGAUCGGCUCUUUUAUCGGUCUCCAUUCAAGAUAAAAAAGAGUUGUGAUAAAGGUUGCUAUUAACAAUUUUCACCCCCUUUUUGCUAGUUGACUUUUUAUGUUGUUUCAUUUAAUUCAUUUUAUUUGAUUCACACGUUACUUAAUUGAACGUUAAAAAUACAACUCUUAGCAAUGGAUAUCUAGGUUCUCGCAACGAUGAAGAACGCAGCGAAAUGCGAUACGUAAUGCGAAUUGCAGAAUUCAGUGAAUCAUCAAAUCUUUGAACGCAAAUGGCGCUCUUGGGUAGCCCUAGGAGCACGCCUCUCUCAGUAUCGGUUCAACAAUCAAUCAGCAGCGUCUGUGAGUAAUCAUGGUCGUGUUCGCUGGAAAAUGAGAGUCUGAGUGCCAUCAGUGCCUUAGUCUCUUUAAAUGCAUGGAGUAACAUGAUGACGAACUAAGUCAAUGUUGAAUUUAUUUUCAACUAGUCAGUCUCGGACUGUUGCUUGGUGAGUGACGUGAAUAUUGACCCUUGCGGUCUCCUUUUUACGUGUAACUCAACGAGUGAUAAUCAGGUCUAGGGCAGGCGAACGGCUUGGUAUAAGUGGACAUGUUAUGUCAACGUGAUGAAAUUCAUUUUUCAUUACAAUCGAUUAAAUUAAUUUUUGAUCUGAAUUUUGAUCUGAGAUGAAGCGAGACAACCCCCUGAAUUUAAGCAUAUUAAUAAGGGGAGGAAAAGAAACUAACAAGGAUUCCCCCAGUAACGGCGAGUGAAGCGGGAAGAGCUCAAUUUGAAAAUCGAUUACCUAAACGGGUCAUCGAGUUGUAGCCUAUAGACGUACUAUCAGCUGAAACCUGGGUAUAAGUUCUUUGGAAUGAGGCAUCAUAGAGGGUGAGAAUCCCGUAUAUGACCCAAAGCUAUUCAGCGUACGAUGUAUGUUCUUCGAGUCGAGUUGUUUGGGAUUGCAGCUCUAAAUGGGUGGUAAGUUUCAUCUAAAGCUAAAUAAUGGCGAGAGACCGAUAGCGAACAAGUACCGUGAGGGAAAGAUGAAAAGAACUUUGAAAAGAGAGUUAAAAGUACUUGAAAUUGCUAAGAGGGAAGCGCUGACAACCAGUGGUAACAUGUCGUUCAUCGCAUUCAGCCCCACUGGUUCGUGACAGUAGUUGGAAACUCUGCUGGUGCGAACGAAAGGGAGGUUGGGUGUUCAGAACGGCGUGUGAGUCAAGAUCAAUUCUAAUGGUGGGAGAAGGUAGGGAGACAGGUAGGAGAUCCGUCUCUGUUAUAGUCUUCUUACUCUACCUCCGCUUGGAUUGAGGAAGUAAUAGUGCGCUGCUUGCGGCUUAGUCCCUGGCUCCUACUGUAUCAACUGCUCUGAUCGCAAUGCUAUCUCUGUGGUGAAGUGCCGUACUGGGUUAGGUGUACUCUAUGUGCUAUCACGAUCUUGUACGAAAUGGUUGUCAUCGACCCGUCUUGAAACACGGACCAAGGAGUCUAACAUCUAUGCGAGUAUUUGAGUGUCAAAACUCUGAUGCGCAAUGAAAGUAAAGGCAGACUUGUGCUGCUGAGGUAGGAAUCCGGUCAAACGGAGGCACUAUCGACCGAUCAUCACUUGUGAAAGAUUUGAGUAAGAGCAUAUCUGUUGGGACCCGAAAGAUGGUGAUCUAUGCCUGAACAGGGUGAAGCCAGGGGAAACUCUGGUGGAGGCUCGUAGCGAUACUGACGUGCAAAUCGUUCGUCUGAUUUGGGUAUAGGGGCGAAAGACUAAUCGAACCAUCUAGUAGCUGGUUCCCUC
This 1972-nucleotide unclassified non-coding RNA is filed under the name uncultured fungus. Its description in RNAcentral is "sequence contains 18S rRNA gene, ITS1, 5.8S rRNA gene, ITS2, 28S rRNA gene". The stretch from base 858 to 1972 matches the Rfam family "Eukaryotic large subunit ribosomal RNA", at positions 1 to 961 of the family's 3401-position model. The record is from RNAcentral. Lineage: Eukaryota; Fungi.